GAGGCUACGGCGAGAGCUGCAAAGAGAGAUCACUGCCCGCCAGGAGAAGGAAGAGCUGGUGCAGACUUUGAGAGCGGAGCUGGAGGAGCUGAAGCAGAAGAAAGCUGGAGAAAUCCAGGCCUCACUAGGGCAAGCUGACGCUGAGCUAGCUCUGGUGCGGGAAGAGCUCCAGAAAGUCUGGCACAUGCUGAAAACGCGG
Non-coding RNA from Struthio camelus australis, 199 nucleotides. The record is from RefSeq and is a predicted model, not a curated record. NCBI's taxonomy places the organism in Eukaryota, Metazoa, Chordata, Aves, Struthioniformes, Struthionidae.